GACGAACGCUGGCGGCGUGCUUAACACAUGCAAGUCGAACGGAAAGGCCCUGCUUUUGUGGGGUGCUCGAGUGGCGAACGGGUGAGUAACACGUGAGUAACCUGCCCUUGACUUUGGGAUAACUUCAGGAAACUGGGGCUAAUACCGGAUAGGAGCUCCUGCUGCAUGGUGGGGGUUGGAAAGUUUCGGCGGUUGUGGAUGGACUCGCGGCUUAUCAGCUUGUUGGUGGGGUAGUGGCUUACCAAGGCUUUGACGGGUAGCCGGCCUGAGAGGGUGACCGGCCACAUUGGGACUGAGAUACGGCCCAGACUCCUACGGGAGGCAGCAGUGGGGAAUAUUGCACAAUGGGCGGAAGCCAGAUGCAGCAACGCCGCGUGCGGGAUGACGGCCUUCGGGUUGUAAACCGCUUUCGCCGGUGACGAAGCGUGAGUGACGGUAAUGGGUAAAGAAGCACCGGCUAACUACGUG
Molecule: ribosomal RNA, 468 nt
Filed under: uncultured bacterium
Lineage: Bacteria
Description: partial 16S ribosomal RNA
Rfam family: Bacterial small subunit ribosomal RNA
Source: RNAcentral